Molecule: long non-coding RNA, 5266 nt
Organism: Numida meleagris (helmeted guineafowl)
Lineage: Eukaryota; Metazoa; Chordata; Aves; Galliformes; Numididae
Exons: 3
Source: RefSeq, a predicted model, not a curated record
AUGUCUGAAAGUGUCAGCUAAGCAAAAAUGACCUGUGUGUCCUCAAAGACUCUUAGGAAAGGCAGGAGCAGAAGGAACAGGUGUGGAUGCCGCAAACAACAGUUUUCCAGGGUGCAGUUUCCAGUGAGUAAAACAGCUGCAGGUUUGCAUACUUGUAGAUAUAUGUGUGAGAGAGUGAAAGACAGUGAAAAAACAGAAGACACAGAGAAAGCCAACUGCUAGAGUGAUAAGCAACAGCAUACUGUCAUGAGGUGAAACCAAAAGAUAGUUCUUCCUGGCUGAAUGGCCUUGCUACAACUGUGCUUUGUGUGCAUCCUCUAAACAAACAGGACUACUCCAAAGAAAUUAUGGGUCCUCACUAUCCUCUUCUCUUCCUAAUGCAAUGCAGCCAGCAAGGCCAGGAUUUUGGCUAACUAGAUAGACCAUGGGAAGAAAAUAUUAGCUGGCAUCAAAACCUGAGCUGCGCAAGAUAGAUCCUCUUAUCAAGAGUUAGAAGAACUAUCGCUCUCUGCCCGUGUGGCUGGGGUCCAUGCAUUCCCACGUGUUGUCACAGGCAGCACUGCCUUCUUUCCUUUGGAAGACUGCUACAAACUCCAGUCUGAUCCUGCUACUGCUGAAGCGAAUGGGAGUUCUGCCAUGGACUUCAAGGAGACCAGAAGCAGGCCCUCAGCUCGCAAAUCCUUUAUAGUCUUUUCCAGAUACUAAAUAAAACCGUGCUUGGAAGUAAUUUGGAUGCCAGCAAGCUGGCCCAGUUUGCCAUGAAAUUCAAAGAUGCCCAACAAUGUGAUGUGUAUUAGGAUACAAUUAAAGUAUCUUCUUCACAGUGCAAUGUGCAAUUUCCUUUCCAAUAAAAAUAUAAGCUUGCCGUAUGUGCAAACAAUUUUAGCAUUUCUGUUUUUAUGCCAUCUUACUGACAAGAAACUCCCAGCUGUUAUAAUUUGUCUCAUCCUUCUUUCCCUUGUAGAACCAGCCUUUGUUCCUUUUUGCAGUGCCAGGGACUUGCUGAGCUCCACCUGAUGUGAUUUGUCCAGGCAUUAAUAAUGCAUCUUCAAGAUGCAAGAUGCAUGAAUUCUUCCAGCAGCAGACCUGCCGGCAGACUGCUGCACCGCCUUGUGCUGCUUCCCGAGAUGAGGGAGGCAGGAGGGCCACAUGGCCGUGCACAUGCACGCACAUAAAGGUCACAGGGCUGGGGAGCAAGGGGUGUCCUGUUAUUAUGUGGGGGUGACUGCAUCCUCCCACAGAGAGCAGGCUGGGGAUUAUGGCUACAAUAGGAGCUGUUCCUGAAGCUGGGAGGCCCUCACCCACCAUCCAACAAAUCCCAGUGGAAAGACCUGAGGUGCCACAGAAGGACAGCGAGCUUGGGGCCACUGCCAUCCCUAAACAUGAACAAGCCGACUCAGACUCCAGACAAUCCCCAUCACCUGCCUGUGAGCGUCGGAGGCUCGAUAGGCUUGCCUGCCCCCACAGCCCCCCACGCCCUAAAAAAUACUACAAAAUUUAAGAAAUAAUUCUUUUUAAAAAGCUCGUUUAAUCGAUAGGAUCGCUGGCAGGGCCGCGGCUCGGCUCUGCUGACGUCGCCAUGGCAACGGCUCUCGGCUCCCGGCGCGAGGCCGCCCCGCGGCCCGGCCCUGGCCUCAGCCCCGACCCCGGCCCCGGCUCGGGCCUCGCCGUCCUCCCCCACCGCCUGCGUCGCCGGGCCGCGGCCGUGUAGGCCUGUGAGAGGGUCGGGGCCUGGACCCGCGCCGGCAGUGCUCCCCGCGGCCCGGCACGAGGGGCGUUGUGAGGAGCCAGGUAUCUACAGGAGUAUUCCACUUAAAGACUGAGAAUAUCCUUAAGUUGCAGAUCUCAAGAGACUAGAUGUGUUUCUGGCCAUACAGAGAAGCUGAGUUUUAGAAAUCCACUAUAAUGUAGAUUUUUAUAUCGACAUCUUUAGCACCUGCAGAAUUAUUCAGGAAUUUUGGGAUCACAGGUCCAGACUUAAGCACCUGUGAAUUUAGAGAAGGUUUUCUAGUCUGUGCGGAGCUGUACCAUUGAAACUUGCCUCCUGUAAUUCACAAUCAACCCACUAUCACCUCAAGCCUGAUCUGAGAGAGGCUGUGACUUCCCUACGUGCUCCUCCUAGUGAAGAUUUGCCAUCAGUGCUGACAAGGCAGUAGCAGCCUCACUAGCUGUAAGUGACAUCUCUCCUCGCUGACAAAAUAUCCCAUCAGCCCAUAUUAGUCUGGAGAGCGCGUCUCUCCCAAAAAGCCCUCAUAGCCAUGAGUCACAAUGUGAAAGCCCUACCAUCAGGGCAACAGUCAAAAUUUAUUCUCAGGCUGGCCUCACAUGUUAACUUAUCACCAAACUAAACUCUGCUGAAAGGCUGGAGCUUGUAUUCACAUAGGGUGGAAAUUGGUUCCACUGGGAGAGCUUCAAAGUCAUUUCAGCCAUUAAACUGUGGCUGGAUGUAUCAUAAGUACAGGAGAGGUCGAGGCACUGCCUGUGAACCGCGGGGACUUGGUAAAGAAGUUCCUGAGAAAUUGGCAGAGCUAUUGUGUAUUCUGUUUCAGUCUGGCUCUGCAGCGGGAGCGAGUCGCGUCUGUACAUGAGACUCAUUAUGCUUCCUCUGUUUAACAUACCAAUUACUUUCUGUAUUUACCAUGUUUAGAGCGACUUGAUGUCAAAAAUUAAUAACGCUAAAAUAAAGAGUAGCGCUGGUGUGUACUAAAGGGGAAGGAAAGCAGGUUAAUAGAAUGUGUAAUAGAGAAGGAAGGUGAAUUUGCAGCUGUAGGGAUCACAUCCAGAUGAAUUUCACGGUGUGCAGUGGCAGGGGUCCCACUGAGGCCCCUGUGCUCUUUAAGACACACUUCAGACAGCGAUGAGUGUAUCUUGAGAGGCUGCAGUGCCUAGGUAAUUUCACCCUGUAAGCAGUGUAAACAAGUAACAGUGCCAGUCAUCCCCUCCAUGAGUUUCACUCCCUCAAAUUUCUUGCCCGUGCCUCAAUAUCGUGCAAAAGUGCUUGGGGGUCAAGUGAUUAAGGUUGGAGGAAAAGAUGACGGGUAAAUGUUUUUGUCUUUUUUAACAGACCCUUGUACAAGCAUGGGCAAGUGAGGAUACCUUGGUUCUUCCUUGUUGAUUCUAGCAGGAGGUCUCUGAUCUUUUCAAGUCCACAAAAUGUUUUACGCAGAUUCCCCAAGGAAUCUGACAACUCUGGUGCAUGGCACUUCCAUAAAAUACUGAAUUCAGCACCUGUCUGGUAAUAGGACGUGAAUUGCUGUCUGAGUCUCUAGUAGGCAGCAUGCCAUCACACAGACGAGCAUUCCCUCACUCCUGUUAAUCACUACAGACAAGAGACUGCAUGGCCUAUUGGUGGGAGGUAACUGGAAAAGGACUGUAUUGAUCAGUGACAUUGGAAGAGUUGUCAUUAAUGGAGGUCGUAAAAGCAGCUCUAAUAUUUAUAACCAAAUCAGAUGGAAUUUAUACCUCAGUAAGCCAUAGAAGACCUCAACAAGCAACUGGUAUACAGGCAUACAGUUAUUUGUAUUUUAGUAUGCCUCCAAUUUCAGCAGGACAUCUUCUCCAGACUGGUAUGAGAAGGAUCCUGGUUUCUGCAUCACUUCACUCACUGUUGCCAUUGAUUCUUUAUGGGAUACUGUGUGAGGGAGAAAGGUAGGAAGCUCCAAAUCUAUCUAUCUACUUGUUUUGCUAGACCGAAGGAGUGUUAAAAAAUUGACUUUCCCAUUUUCUUUCAAUAGGCAACUGAUCCAUUAUAAUGUGACACCUUUAUGCACAUCCUUGAGGUUGGAGAGAUGCAAAUUCUUCCAAAAGACAACUGGAAACACACUUCUGAUUUUACCUUCUUUUCGCUUUGUUUUCUUUUCAGUAUAGGCUCAGUACUGCUAAAAGGAAUAAUGAGAUGGGGUCCAGCAAUGUGAUAGCAAAGGACAGGACCUGUGUGAUUCCCUUUGCUUGCUCACUCCACUCAGGUACUCAGACUCCCUCAGGCAGCAAGUUUGAGUGCAGGUAGACAAAAGUAAUUCUGUGUCAUGGCACAGGUGGCAUGAUAUUGGUGCAGAGGCUCUUUGUACAAAGCCUGACUAAGGAUCUCUAGGUCUGUCUCAAACUAUCCCUAUUGUCUUAUGACUUACGUGCCUCACUGAUACGAUAAAGCUCAUUUUGCACCAGCAGUAAUGUAUGGUGUCUUAACAUUUUCAUGUUUUUCUUGCUUUGGAAAGCUAAUCCAUACCUAAGCAAACAAGCUGCUCUUACAGUAAAAACACACUCAGUGCUGAGAGUUUGCCUUGCAUGUUUGCCCUUUUGUAAAAGAUGAUCUUCAUUAAGAAAUCUGUAUCUUAGGCUUAAGAGAUGGUUCACGUGAACAGACUUUCUCAGAGAAAAAUCCUUAGUUCUUUGCUUACUUCUUUUCCAUUUAAACUCCAGUUUCCUUUAGUGGAAGUUUGCUUUUCACCUAUUUCUGCUACUAACCCAUCAUUUCUUUUCCAUUGCAAACUCAACUGCGCUCUGAAGGCAAAGCUAGAUUCUUUCCUUAUAAUGCAUCACUCACAGGUAAUGAAAUCUCUGCAAGCAAAAAUAUGCAAGAAUUAUUGUUGAGCAAACAUUACUGGUCUCUUGUACAAGGAGAAAUUCCACUCAUGCCAACACUAAAGGUAAUAAAGGGAGAGAUCCAGGAACACUUGUUAACAAUCAGCAUGUGCGCUGACUGGUCUGGUAACGGGUAAGGAGUACAGAGUUUUAUUAAUAAUACAAUAAAGAGGAACCAGCUCACUUGUCUUGAAGCAGGUUGGUUUUUCUGGGCUAAAAAUCAUAAACUUUUUAGUUUUGAACGCAGGCAGCAAUGAUUCUCAAUACACAACAGGAGCAGAUCUGCUGAGUAAGAAGGUACAAUUUUUAUAACAUUGCUUUCAGAACAGGACAUACAUCAAUCUUUUACUCUUAAACAAGCUCGGUGUUAUUCUUCCAACAGAAAGGUCAAAAAUACAUGGCAUGAAGUCUAAAUCACUCUAUUGCAUUCUGCUUGGACUGGAUGUAGGGCUGUUUGCCUCUCACUGACUGUGUGAAAGGAAUAUCUCAGGUUUAAAUAUCCUCCAGAAAUCUUUCUUCUCAAGGUACAAAGAGAGAUGGAGUAUGGCAGCUAGCAAACAGGGGCUGUAGUCAUUCUUUCUGCACCUAGGAAGCACUAAAAUGAACCCAAAUUUCCUGCCCAGCCACUGUGCAUAGCCAUGGAAGAUAAUUUGAAAUGCUUAGUGUGCUGACAUCCACCAUGAAG